This 253-nucleotide ribosomal RNA is filed under the name uncultured bacterium. RNAcentral's name for it is "partial 16S ribosomal RNA". It matches the Rfam family "Bacterial small subunit ribosomal RNA", at positions 524 to 776 of the family's 1533-position model. The record is from RNAcentral.
UACGUAGGCAGCAAGCGUUGUUCGGAAUUACUGGGCGUAAAGAGUGUGUAGGCGGUGCUCUAAGUUUGGUGUGAAAUCUCCCGGCUCAACUGGGAGGGUGCAGCGGAAACUAGAGUGCUAGAGGGUGGGAGAGGUAAGCGGAAUUCCUGGUGUAGCGGUGAAAUGCGUAGAUAUCAGGAGGAACACCUGUGGUGUAGACAGCUUACUGGACCACUUCUGACGCUGAGACACGAAAGCGUGGGUAGCAAACAGG